UCAAAUUCCCAGCAAUCCUCCAGCCUCAGCCUCCUGAGUGCUGGGAUUAUAGCUCUGCACCACCACGCCCAGCUGUAUACUUCAUAGUUCUUCCAGUAGUUACCAAGACACACCUGAGGUAUGACUUUGCUAGCUAGGGACAAAAUUGCAAUCUUUCUAUGCUUUAGUCCAAAUGGACUUGGUAUUAAGUAAAAUUUUAUUACAUUGGAUAAUAAAAUUAGAGACAGCAAUGAAAAUCAGAGCUAUAGCAACAUGAAUGGAGUUCCAAGGUGAUUAGUGCCAAGCAGGUACCCUGAACAUCCACAUGAAAUCCUACCCUCCCUUUUGAGACAAGUUACCUGGCCCCUCACUCCCACAGUUAACUCCAUGUCACUGUCCAUAAAGCUACAUUUGUGGUGAUUUUUCCCUCCAGAUUCUUUUGUUUUCUACUUUGCAAUGUAGAAAAAAAAACAAAAACAAAACUCUUCAGCUUUUUCUGUUGCCUAGGUGUCUUCUUCCUAAUAACUGCUAUUUUAAAUCUUAUCUCUUACAAAAACUAAAAAUUGGUGUGGAAAAGACAGCCCACAGAAGUUACAUUAUUGUCCACCAGAAUGAAACUCACAUUUCUUUCACUCUUUCAUGUUAAAACUGAAAGGCAUAGGAAAGCAAAAGCACAACAGUAUGUUUUUAUUUAUACCCCCUCUUAUAUUUAAAAUCCACCAAAGAAUCACGAUACAAUCAAAUACUCAUUUAAAAAGUAUUCACUAACAGAAUUGAAAAAUAACAACUUACUUUUGAAACUGUUAAUGUAGCCAUUCACUGGCUUCUUUCCCCAGCACAGCACUCAGCACUGAGACACUGUGCUGGUCCGCUUGUAGUCACUGUUACAAAACACCUGAGGAGAAGAAUUUAAAGGGGGGACAGUUUUCUCUUGGGCUUGGCUUGAUGAUUUUCAGUCCAAGGUAAACUGGCUGUAUUGCCUUUAGGCCUGUGGUGAGGCAGGAGCAUCCUGACGGAAGAGCCUGUUGGAGGAAAAGAGUGGGAGGGGCUGGGGACCAGAUUCAGUCCUGAAGGCCAUCCCCGUACUCUGUGACCUGCUCCUCUGCUGGUUCUACCUCUAGUCUCCAUCUCCUCCAACAGUGCAGUCACAUUGUGAUCUCAUCAGUGGAUUAACCCACCUAAUGGGGUGACAGCCCUCAGGAUCCAGUCACCUCCCCAAGACCCAUCAGCUGGUGACCAAGCCUUCAUGCAGCUCCUGGAUUUGGGGGAAUAUUUCAAAUCCAAACCACGAUGGAAGUAAGAAGUACUACUGCAUGUUCCCUAUGAUACUGAUGAGUUCUCACCUGAACUACCCACUUACCCACCCUAAGGCAGUAGGGUGAAAGAUGGGCAUUUGUUGCUCUGUCAACAAGAACCUGCAUUAUUGGAGACCAAACUGGGAGAAAAGCAGCUCUUCAAAGAAAAAUAACUGAUUUGUUUUUUGUACUUACAAAUACCUUAACUGGUAGAGAAUGAAUUUUGUACUUUACCAUUUUGCCUUUAGCUUUUGUAUAUGAAUUAGAGGUCGAUGGAGAUCCUGCCUCCCCAAUGGAUCAGCCCGUUCAUACAUGACUGGUUUUUUUCAUUUUCUGUUGUACACAAGUAGAAUUUUCCAUAUUCCAAGGAAGUUGCAUUAAAAAGUACAUUGAAACAUUAAAA
Long non-coding RNA from Chinchilla lanigera (long-tailed chinchilla), 1677 nucleotides. RefSeq lists it as uncharacterized. Lineage: Eukaryota; Metazoa; Chordata; Mammalia; Rodentia; Chinchillidae. The record is from RefSeq and is a predicted model, not a curated record. The transcript is spliced from 2 exons.